RNAcentral lists this ribosomal RNA (669 nucleotides) under Pseudomonas sp. HPC 894. Its description in RNAcentral is "bacterial SSU rRNA". It matches the Rfam family "Bacterial small subunit ribosomal RNA", at positions 33 to 704 of the family's 1533-position model. The record is from RNAcentral. Lineage: Bacteria; Pseudomonadati; Pseudomonadota; Gammaproteobacteria; Pseudomonadales; Pseudomonadaceae.
CCGGUACCCGUAGGGUUUAAUCUUGUACCCGUAGAGUUUGAUCGGGGCUCGGAAAGUUUUAACAGGGGUCCCUAAAGCCUAGAAAUCUGCCUGGUAGUGGGGGACAACGUUCCGAAAGGAGCGCUAAUACCGCAUACGUCCUACGGGAGAAAGUGGGGGAUCUUCGGACCUCACGCUAUCAGAUGAGCCUAGGUCGGAUUAGCUAGUAGGUGGGGUAAUGGCUCACCUAGGCGACGAUCCGUAACUGGUCUGAGAGGAUGAUCAGUCACACUGGAACUGAGACACGGUCCAGACUCCUACGGGAGGCAGCAGUGGGGAAUAUUGGACAAUGGGCGAAAGCCUGAUCCAGCCAUGCCGCGUGUGUGAAGAAGGUCUUCGGAUUGUAAAGCACUUUAAGUUGGGAGGAAGGGCAGUAAGUUAAUACCUUGCUGUUUUGACGUUACCAACAGAAUAAGCACCGGCUAACUUCGUGCCAGCAGCCGCGGUAAUACGAAGGGUGCAAGCGUUAAUCGGAAUUACUGGGCGUAAAGCGCGCGUAGGUGGUUUGGUAAGAUGGAUGUGAAAUCCCCGGGCUCAACCUGGGAACUGCAUCCAUAACUGCCUGACUAGAGUACGGUAGAGGGUGGUGGAAUUUCCUGUGUAGCGGUGAAAUGCGUAGAUAUAGGAAGG